This 305-nucleotide ribosomal RNA is filed under the name uncultured bacterium. Its description in RNAcentral is "bacterial SSU rRNA". It matches the Rfam family "Bacterial small subunit ribosomal RNA", at positions 338 to 658 of the family's 1533-position model. The record is from RNAcentral.
CCUACGGGGGGCAGCAGUGGGGAAUAUUGGGCAAUGGGCGCAAGCCUGACCCAGCAACGCCGCGUGAAGGAAGAAGGCUUUCGGGUUGUAAACUUCUUUUAAGAGGGAAGAGCAGAAGACGGUACCUCUUGAAUAAGCCACGGCUAACUACGUGCCAGCAGCCGCGGUAAUACGUAGGUGGCAAGCGUUGUCCGGAUUUACUGGGUGUAAAGGGCGUGCAGCCGGGAGUGCAAGUCAGAUGUGAAAUCCCGCGGCUCAACCGCGGAACUGCAUUUGAAACUGUGCUUCUUGAGUGCUGGAGAGGC